This 77-nucleotide transfer RNA is filed under the name Sphingomonas sp. Its description in RNAcentral is "tRNA-His". It matches the Rfam family "tRNA". Rfam says of the family: Transfer RNA (tRNA) molecules are approximately 80 nucleotides in length. Their secondary structure includes four short double-helical elements and three loops (D, anti-codon, and T loops). RNAcentral also lists the same sequence under 1 other name. The record is from RNAcentral. Lineage: Bacteria; Pseudomonadati; Pseudomonadota; Alphaproteobacteria; Sphingomonadales; Sphingomonadaceae.
GCGACCAUAGCUCAAUUGGUUAGAGCGCCGGUUUGUGGUACCGGAGGUUGCGGGUUCGAGACCCGUUGGUCGCCCCA